This 1020-nucleotide ribosomal RNA is filed under the name Clostridioides difficile. RNAcentral's name for it is "bacterial LSU rRNA". It matches the Rfam family "Bacterial large subunit ribosomal RNA", at positions 811 to 1849 of the family's 2925-position model. Lineage: Bacteria; Bacillati; Bacillota; Clostridia; Peptostreptococcales; Peptostreptococcaceae. The record is from RNAcentral.
GUGGGUAGCGGUGAAAUUCCAAUCGAGCCCGGAGAUAGCUGGUUCUCCCCGAAAUAGCUUUAGGGCUAGCCUCAAGGUGAGAGAUACGGAGGUAGAGCACUGAAUGUCCUAGGGGGUAUUGCACCUACCGAAGACUAUCAAACUCCGAAUGCCGUCAUCUUAUACUUGGGAGUCAGACUGUGGGUGAUAAGAUUCAUAGUCGAAAGGGCAACAGCCCAGAUCGUCAGCUAAGGUCCCUAAAUGUAAGUUAAGUGGUAAAGGAUGUGGGAUUGCACAGACAACCAGGAUGUUGGCUUAGAAGCAGCCACUCAUUCAAAGAGUGCGUAAUAGCUCACUGGUCGAGUGAUCCUGCGCCGAAGAUUUCCGGGGCUAAAACUUACUACCGAAGCUACGGCAUCAGUAAUGAUGGGUAGGGGAGCUUCCCAUACGGGUUGAAGCAUGACCGUAAGGACAUGGGGACAGUAUGGGAGUGAGAAUGUUGGCAUGAGUAGCGAGAUGUGGGUGAGAAUCCCACAGGCCGUAAACCCAAGGUUUCCAGGGGAAGGUUCGUCCGCCCUGGGUUAGUCGGGACCUAAGCUGAGGCCGAAAGGCGUAGGUGAUGGACAACAGGUUGAUAUUCCUGUACUACCGAUAACCGUUUGAGAGAAGGGAUGACACAGUAGGAUAAGCUAAGCACACUGUUGGUUAUGUGUGCCCAAGCAUUGAGGCAGUCAAAGUAGGUAAAUCCGCUUUGAUAAUGCUGGGAUGUGAUGGGGAGCGAAAUUUAGUAGCGAAGUAGCUGAUUUCACACUGUCAAGAAAAGUCUCUAUCGAGGUUAAAGGUACCCGUACCGCAAACCGACACAGGUGGGUGAGGAGAGUAUCCUAAGGCCAGCGAGAGAACUGUUGUUAAGGAACUCGGCAAAAUGACCCCGUAACUUAGGGAUAAGGGGUGCCACCAUCAGGUGGCCGCAGAGAAUAGGCCCAAGCGACUGUUUACCAAAAACAUAGGUUUCUGCUAAGUCGCAAGACGAUGUAUAGG